CAACUGAAAAAUGAGAUUGAAGGGCACCGUAGAGUGCUAAACAACCAGUUGAGAAGUGUUAGAACAAUGGAUCCUGCAAAGAAAGAAGCGCGCAUUCGCGCUACCAGAGAGCGCAUAGAGGGUUUGGAGGAGAGGCAGGAAGCGCUGCGGGUGGAGCAGCAAGUGCUCUUUAUUCGUCUAGCAUCUCGCUAGAAUAGAAGAGUCCGUAGACUCUUUUUAGUUUUCUAAGGUUGGUUUAAAUUCAAUAAGUGUCUGGAGACUUUUUUCUUUCUUUGUACAACGAAAAAGAAGCCCUCUGUAGGAAGAAUCGUAAAUGCCGGAGGACGCGUUCAACAUGAAUUGUCACUGUGGAAUGAAAUCACCUCUCGAAUCGAGCAAGAAAUGACUAUUUCUUUUCUAAUAGCGACUUAUCACAAAAAUAACCGAUUGAUACUGUCUUCACAAGGUGGUGCUCGUCCCAAAAGCUACCGAAUUGGCCUAUCAUCAGUAUCCAAUCCAGAUCCCCGUAGGAAAGAAGCUAGAUUUCUCUCUAUUUCAUAGAGUUUUGACUCGAAAGCCUUUGCGCAAGGUAAUCUAUUGACAGAGAGAGAUGCUCCUCCUGCUUGAUAGAAGCAUUAGUUAGUAUGUUAGCUAUAGCCUUCACACAGUCGUCUGGAAUAGAUAGAGAAAGAGAUAAGCUGCACCUGAGUGAUCGAUGCAAAAAAGGAGAAAUUGCUUGUUCGGUUCAACCGAAGCCUAAGACUAAGACUGCGUAGGAGUCAACUGAUGAUCCUACUUUUGCUUUUGCUCCUUGGCUCGGACCCACAUUUCAUCGGAAAGAAAGCGAGGUCUUGGCAGUCCAGUGUCAGCUUCUGAAGAUGGUCAACUCAUCAAAGCGGAAGAGAAACCAGUAUCUAUUGAUGGCGAGCCCGGAUAAUUGAAACAAGCAAGAUACCAUCUCUUCUUUAACUGAACUGAACAGAGCAAACCUCAACCGAUGCGGCCAAAGAGCAAGUGGACUGAACUGCUCUCCCUUACUAUGAAUAAAACGGAGAGUAGAACCGAACACUUGAAGCU
RNAcentral lists this long non-coding RNA (1056 nucleotides) under Hordeum vulgare. RNAcentral describes it as "long non-coding RNA (HVUL_LNC019913)". The record is from RNAcentral. Lineage: Eukaryota; Viridiplantae; Streptophyta; Magnoliopsida; Poales; Poaceae.